AAUCUGUUUUCUAUGCAAUACGUUUAUAUCAAUACACAUCUGUUAAAGUGAAAACAAUGGUCCACAAUGAUUUGUCAAGUGUUUAUAUAUUUGUUUGAAUGUGUGACAUUGACAACAGAAGAUUUAAACACUAUUCGAUAAGAGUAGUUAUCGCAGAGUGAUGAAAAGAUUAAUAAUAUUACUAUUACUAAACGAUUAUUUCUCUGUAUCACUUUUUAAUUUCAUAAAGAUGCAGAGUUCGAAGUCUUCCAUAUAUUAAUGAUUGAAAGCCAGUUACAUUAUUGCCUCCCGUAAUGUGUUGUCUGACUUCAAUCUCUAUACAUUUUAUGAAGUCACUCACAAAGCAAUUGUGUCAACAAAAUUUAAAAGAAUAAAAUUCUAAUCAAUUCUUCAAUCGAUGUAAAACAAAACUAAAAACUAGAAAUAUUGAUUCAAAAACUUUGCUAAAAUGGCUUAUUCAAUCAAUCGAAAACCUUUGUUAGCUAAUUCAACUAGUGAUAGUGAAUUUGAUGAUGAAUUUGAAACAGAAGUCGAUGAUGCCAGUGUUUCUGUGCCUGAUCAAAAGCCAUUUUUUAAACCUUUACCGAGAGACAGGUACAAUCUUGCAUAUAUCGUAUUUUAUUUACUUGGAAUAAACACUUUGAUACCAUGGAGUUUUUUCAUCACUGCCGAUGAUUAUUGGAUGUACAAAUUUCGAGAAAUCCAUCCUAAUAAUACAGGAACUAACAAUUAUACGCACACUGAAAUUUUAGAAAAGAGAACAGAUUUACAAGCGAGUUUUACAUCGUAUUUAAAUGUAGCUAGUGCAAUUCCAAACACAUUUUUUCUAAUACUCAAUACCUUCUUAAGUAAAAGAAUAUCUCAAAAAGUGAGAAUGAUUGGCUCGCAACUGUUGAUUCUGAUUAUGUUUAUCAUUACUACCGCAUUUGUAAAGAUAAACACAGAUGAGUGCCAGCAUGUUUUCUUGAUUUUAACUCUCACAUCAGUUGCAUUCGUGAAUGCAUUAAGUGCAAUUUUUGGUGGAAGUUUAAUGGGAAUUGUUGGACGAUUUUCCUCCAAGUACAUCACUGCCAUGUCAGGAGGUCAAGCUUUAGGUGGAAUAUUCACUGCCCUAACUGAAAUUGUUGCACUUUGGAUUGGUGCAAGUCCUGUCAUUUCUGGAUUAAUUUUUUUUAUUAUCGGUGAUGUGGUACUUUUCUUUUCGCUAAUUGCGUACAUUUUUCUGGAAAAAGAGGAAUUUUUUAAGCAUCAUAUGGUUGAAAAAUCAUAUCAAGAACCAAAUUUUUCUGUUAAUGCAGAAGUUAGUUUUGUUGAUAGACAUAGAGUAUCAUACACAAGAAUAUUAAAACGUGUUUGGCCUUAUGGAUUGUCGAUGUUUCUUGUAUUUUUUGUCUCUAUAGCCGUUUAUCCGGCAAUUACAGUAUUAGUAGAAAGCCAAGAUAAAGGCAAAGGAUAUGCAUGGAAUGAUAUUUACUUUGUACCAGUUGUGACUUAUCUCACAUUCAGCUGUGGAGAUUAUAUUGGAAGACUUCUGUCUGGUAUUUUUUUGUGGCCAAAAAAAAAGCCAUAUCUUGUAGUGAUUUUGAGUCUGUUGAGAGGAUUAUUCAUUCCUGCUUUUCUGUUUUGCAAUGCUCAACCACGCCAUCAUUUACAAGUUUAUAUUGAAAGUGAUGUUUAUUACAUAUUGUUGACUGUAUUAUUUGCUAUUGGGAAUGGAUAUUUAUGUAAUAUAUGUUUUAUAUUAGCUCCAACUAUUGUUGAGCCACAAGAUAAAGAAAUUGCUUCGAUAAUGAUGGGUGCUUUUCUUGGAUUAGGACUUACGGCUGGAUCGGCAUUAAGUCUCAUUUUAGUAAAAGUCUUAUAAUUUGAAUAUAUUUUUCUUUUUUCUCAAAGAAAAAAGAAAAAUUUAGCUAAAUGUGCAAAAAAAUAAUUGUUUGAUCUGUAAUUCGACUGAGACAUUCCAACAACCAAUGAAUUUAUCAUAUCAAUUAAAUCAAUCAGUAUAAUAUUAAUUUAAUAAGAAGAUAAUUACUGGAAUUUUUGAAAAUUAAUUGCUUUAAAAUAAAAAUUAUUUUUUAUAUAUAAUUUUUUUGUAUCAAAGCACACAUGUAAAAAGCUUUGAUAAAUAAUUGAAGAAAGAAUAAUUGUUUAAAUACACAUCUAGUCUGGAUCAACAUAUGAGUAUACAUGACAAAAAAUGAAAUACGAAUGUUAAUAGGGUGUUCUGAAAACAAAUUACGCAUAAUUUAAAAAUUAUAUUGAAAAUUUGUAUAAUUUUUAUUUAAUAAUAAUUCUUAGGAAUUUAAUAUAAAGUUAACUUAUAAUUUA
Molecule: unclassified non-coding RNA, 2328 nt
Filed under: Chelonus insularis
Lineage: Eukaryota; Metazoa; Arthropoda; Insecta; Hymenoptera; Braconidae
Description: equilibrative nucleoside transporter 3, transcript variant X1
Source: RNAcentral